Molecule: long non-coding RNA, 3569 nt
Filed under: Helianthus annuus (common sunflower)
Lineage: Eukaryota; Viridiplantae; Streptophyta; Magnoliopsida; Asterales; Asteraceae
Source: RNAcentral
UAACAACCACCAAAACCUUAUCUCUUUCAAUUACUUUCAUCUUACUCAUUCAAUUCCCCCUUCUUCCUCAUUCAACUUCUUCUUCAUUCAAGUUCAACGCUGCCUCACCCACUCAAACCAUCGGUUAUGCUAAACCUGCUUAGUCUACAGGUACAUUUGAGCAAAGGCAACCAAACCUAGUAGAGCAACAGCUUCCAUCACGAGCCAAUCACUAAAUCUAGGUUUGUUCCAAUCUAUGUUGGGUGACAUCAAGGCGAUGAUCAGUUAUUUGUAGAAGACUUCAAAAGGCUAAACUUUGGCGACAUUCACUCUAAUUUUCACUCAAAUUUAGUGUUUUUGUCAAUGGUGACUAAGUCAAAGGUUGUUACAUCAAAUGGACGACAUUGAAAUUAUGGCAGACACAGGUUUAGAAGCUUUUAGAUUUUCCAUCUCUUGGUCCAGACUGAUCCCAAGAAAGACUACAUUGCAUAUGCUGAUGUUUGCUUCAGAGAAUUUGGUGAUUGGGUCUUGCACUGGACUACUUUUAAUGAAGCUGUUGAGAGGAUCAAAUGCGACCAAAACUUUUUACUACAAGGCUGGGUUUGACCCACAAUUUUUGUCAAAACCAAGCGUGGAAGGGAAGGAGGCUGGGUUGUGGAACGGCUUUUGAAUCAGUUAUUGAUAGAGCUAGACCGGAGCUGAUCAACGCAAGGGCGUUUACAUAAUCGGUUCUACCAACAGGCCAGAGGUGAUGGAUCAAGCAGUGUUACGACCCGGAAGGUUUGGGAACAAUUUAAACCACUUAGAUUCUUAAUUUUUCCGUAAUAAUUACUAAUGUACGUUUAGUCUUUUUUUUAAUGCCUACUUAUGCAUAUGAACUAUUGAUGCGUGUUAGUGUGUAUAUUUUUAGGUAUAUAUUUUAAACCCUUUUUAAACUUUUUAGCCAAGUUUUAAAUUUAUAAAACACGAUAUUUACUAACACUACACACACAUAUGGGCAAGUGCACCCAUCGUGGACGUAGUAUAGUGUUGAUAGUCCCUAAAGCGGAUGAAGGUUACUCGGAUAGUCCACGUGGUUUGACAAGUUGUUACUCAGAUAGUCCCUAGUCCCUGUGGUUUGACAAGUUGUUACUCGGAUAGUCCCUGUGGUUUGACAAGUUGUUAGUCGGAUAGUUCCUGUGGUUUGACAAGUUGUUACUCGGAUAGUCCUUGUCAUUUCACACCCACUUAACCAAAAAAACUAACCUCCAUCUACUUUAGGGACUAUCCAAGUAACAACUUACCAAACCACAUGGACUAAGAAUGUAAUUUUAAAAAGUUAGAAAUUAAAAGUGAAAUUUCACCAAACCUGAGUGGAUUUUACUCCUAAUUCUAAUUGAUGCUUUCAUUGAAAAUUAUUGAAGUUCCCUCCUAAUUUUACCCCCUAAAAUUAUUUUCCCAAAAAUUUAAUUUAAUCAUCUAAAAUAAAGAAACUUCCCCGCCCACUUUUUCCCCAAAACCCAAAUUCCCCAUCAUUCUCAAAACCAAACUGAACAUCCCAAAUAAUCUUUAAGCAAAUCGUAACUCUCAUUCUCAAACUUCCCUGCCGAUUCGACUUUGAGAUUAGAUCUCCACCAUGACGACGACCAGCACCAUCAUGACACCGGUCGUCAUUUGCGGGGAAAGAUUGAAAGAUAUACUAUAGCCAUGAUGUAUUGGAACAAUCUCGUUUACUCGCCGUGAUUCUUCAGCCGUCGAGCAUCGCCGCUUGUUACCAUUGGCAUUGAUGGACCCGUUGGUACCGGAUUUGAAAGAUGUAACUGAGAAGUUAAUUUUUGGGCUCUUUGUCAUGAAUGUUGGUAGUGAGUGCAAGUUGGAAAAUUUUGGAGGCGAGGACGGGCGGGUCGUGUUCAACCCGGAGAGUGUUACCAUCUAUAUCCUCGAUGCGUCUAUAACGCUUUCGCAGAGUAUCAGUUGCCCGAAAUACUAAGGACACCCUUGCAGUCGCUAUGUCUUCAAAUCAAAAGUUUAAAGCUUGGAAGUAUAUCCGAAUUCUUAUCUAAGGCUCUACAGUCACCCAAGUUAUUAGCGGUCCAAAACGCUAUCGAGUAUCUCAAGGUUAGCGGUGCUUUAGAUGAGAGUGAAAAUCUAACUGUAUUGGGAUGGGCACUUGAGAAUGAUGGGAGCAUACUUGGAGUUCUUUAUGGACCCGGGAUUAGCCAAAAUGUAUCAAAGUUUAAGACGGGAGCUUGACAAGUUAAUUCAGUGUAAGUUAACGAAUCCCAGAAUGGACAUACAUACACACCACGAGCUUUUAUCCGCCAUACGGUUGCUUCUACCUGAAGAUAAAUGUAAUGGCAAAUUCGUAUUCGACCGUCAGGUGUUGUAUAAAGACUCAAAACCUUAUAUCGCAUCCGUACCAGCGCCAGCACCACCAGCUUCGAGAUUAGAAAGUGGACCAGGCGGUGACAAUCCCAAAGGUCAGCUACAAACAUUACUUAUGAGAGCCGGGUGCCCUGCCCCAACCUACCGAACCACCCAACUGUCGGACAACCAGUUUCGGUCCAUUUGUGAAUUCAAUGGGAUGCAGAUUAUGGGGCACCCUUGCCACAACAAGAAACAGGCAGAAAAAGAUGCUGCAGCCGAGGCUUUAGAACGGCUCACGGGUGGCAACAAUGUAACUUUUUCAUAAUUGUUUGCUUCAAUGAUUUCAAUAUUGGCCGGGGAUUUCUUGCUUUUUAGAGCUGGUAUUGCCCUUGCUUUCUUGAAGAACACCGAGGUUGUACAUUAAUAGCAACAGCAACUAUCAAUGAUCUUUUGGCCUAGUGGUUAAAGGGGAGGUGAGAAGCUUUGCUUCUCUUGGAGGUCCUGGGUUCAAGUCCAGGCAAGGGGGUUUUAAUACUAACUUGAUAUGCUAGAGAAGACACAUUAUCUUCUGUACAUAUACGAUCUUAUGAAAAGAAAGCUGCUUUCAUCAUCAACAGAUCCAAAUUGCCCAGAAGCAUCUCUUGUUGAGGUAUACCAACGCAGUUAUGAUCUAUGUAUGCAGCUCUAGCAGAAAGAUUCUGACUGAGAACUCAUAUCUAAACAUAUAUGGUUGUAUGAUGCUGAUCUCAACGGCCAGCAACUUGCGAUUGUUGCAGGACUUUGUGAGUGGAGAGAUGUUAUUGCUCGUUCAGAAGAUGAAAGUACCGGUUAUAUAUUGCCAAACAAAGUUCUUAUUGAAAUUGGUCUUAUUGAAAUUGCAAAGCAAAGCAAAUGCCGGUGACAACUGAAAAAUUGCGACACUUGUUGAAAUCGAGACAUCCAUAUAUUGAGCGAAAUCUUGGUUCAAUCGUUGGCAUCACUAAGCAUUCCAUGCAGAAUGGCGCUGCAUUUGAACUUGUUGCCAAGAAAAUUGUUGAAGAUGAUUAUUUAACUCGCAUGAAGAUUGUGAAAGAGAUUCAUGAACACAAUUAAGUUUUGAGUUUUUAUUCAUACACUUGGUAGUUUAUUUGGGUUAUAUGUUUGAUCAUUAAACUUAGAUCGAUACUUAUUAGACAUUUGGAAUCUUUGGAAGAUUGAUUGAACUUUUAAUUGAAGUGAUUAUUUUAUGAUUUCUACAUUUUAAA